GACGAACGCUGGCGGCGUGCCUAAUACAUGCAAGUUGAGCGCUGAAGGUUGGUACUUGUACCAACUGGAUGAGCAGCGAACGGGUGAGUAACGCGUGGGGAAUCUGCCUUUGAGCGGGGGACAACAUUUGGAAACGAAUGCUAAUACCGCAUAAAAACUUUAAACACAAGUUUUAAGUUUGAAAGAUGCAAUUGCAUCACUCAAAGAUGAUCCCGCGUUGUAUUAGCUAGUUGGUGAGGUAAAGGCUCACCAAGGCGAUGAUACAUAGCCGACCUGAGAGGGUGAUCGGCCACAUUGGGACUGAGACACGGCCCAAACUCCUACGGGAGGCAGCAGUAGGGAAUCUUCGGCAAUGGACGAAAGUCUGACCGAGCAACGCCGCGUGAGUGAAGAAGGUUUUCGGAUCGUAAAACUCUGUUGGUAGAGAAGAACGUUGGUGAGAGUGGAAAGCUCAUCAAGUGACGGUAACUACCCAGAAAGAGGCGGCUAACUACGUG
RNAcentral lists this ribosomal RNA (497 nucleotides) under uncultured bacterium. RNAcentral describes it as "partial 16S ribosomal RNA". It matches the Rfam family "Bacterial small subunit ribosomal RNA", at positions 28 to 507 of the family's 1533-position model. The record is from RNAcentral.